RNAcentral lists this long non-coding RNA (396 nucleotides) under Setaria viridis. RNAcentral's name for it is "long non-coding RNA (SVIR_LNC003046)". The record is from RNAcentral. Lineage: Eukaryota; Viridiplantae; Streptophyta; Magnoliopsida; Poales; Poaceae.
AUUAUAAUAAUUUUCUAAUCUCAAAACUUAAUUCCUAUGAUUUAAUAAUAAUUUGUGAAUAAGAAAGCAUUAUUCAAAAUUUUAUGCAUUAAUAUUAAGGUUAAGCAUUUAUUUAAAUACCUUAAUCAAAAGGCAUUAAAUAAAUACCUAAAUUUUAUUAUUUUUCCUAAGGUUUAAGAAUUUUAAUGCAUAAAGAAAAAUAAAAUAAUCCUAAUAAAAUUGGUUUCACUAUUUUUGGACAUUUCUACAAUUUCUAAUGAAUUAAAUGGUGAUAAACGAAUUUAAACUAUUUAUCUGCAAAAGAAAAACCUAUGAUUAUCUAAACCCCCCGGAAAAACCUUUCUCACUUACCCCUAUAUACCUCCUGCGACUGACCUGCGGGUCCCAAGGCCCGGC